UCCCACUAUCAUACCAGCACUAAUGCACUGGAUACCAUCAGAAUUCCACAGUUAAACGUGUUUGGAUAAGAAUAGUAUUAGGAAGGAUGACCUCUCGAAAAACUCUCGUGUUAC
Molecule: ribosomal RNA, 114 nt
Filed under: Brassica rapa (field mustard)
Lineage: Eukaryota; Viridiplantae; Streptophyta; Magnoliopsida; Brassicales; Brassicaceae
Source: RNAcentral